AUCCCUUGACAUCCUGCGAACUUUCUAGAGAUAGAUUGGUGCCUUCGGGAACGCAGUGACAGGUGCUGCAUGGCUGUCGUCAGCUCGUGUCGUGAGAUGUUGGGUUAAGUCCCGCAACGAGCGCAACCCUUAUCAUUAGUUGCUAACAUUUAGUUGAGAACUCUAAUGAGACUGCCGGUGAUAAACCGGAGGAAGGCGGGGACGACGUCAAGUCAUCAUGGCCCUUAUGGGAUGGGCUACACACGUGCUACAAUGGGGGGUACAAAGAGCAGCCAACUGGUGACAGUGCGCGAAUCUCAUAAAACCUCUCGUAGUCCGGAUCGGAGUCUGCAACUCGACUCCGUGAAGUCGGAAUCGCUAGUAAUCGUGAAUCAGAAUGUCACGGUGAAUACGUUCCCGGGCCU
Molecule: ribosomal RNA, 404 nt
Filed under: uncultured bacterium
Lineage: Bacteria
Description: bacterial SSU rRNA
Rfam family: Bacterial small subunit ribosomal RNA
Source: RNAcentral